AUGCGCAAGAUUCUUCUGUUUGCUAUGGGUCCUGGACGAUGGCAAGCAUUGACGUGCGUACGCCGUUGCAACAGCCACACCUCAACCCUCCCGACGCACGCAAUAAUCAGCGGUGCCAAAAUGAUUUGGUGUUUGCAAAGGUCGCUUUUGUUGCAUUUUCUACGUGAGAAACCAUCUCAGGCUGUAAGUUUGCACAGCCUGGACACUUCACUUGCAUAUCUUGUUAGUUACUGA
Molecule: ribosomal RNA, 234 nt
Filed under: Triticum aestivum (bread wheat)
Lineage: Eukaryota; Viridiplantae; Streptophyta; Magnoliopsida; Poales; Poaceae
Description: partial small subunit ribosomal RNA
Source: RNAcentral